RNAcentral lists this long non-coding RNA (215 nucleotides) under Gallus gallus (chicken). RNAcentral's name for it is "long non-coding RNA NONGGAT003950". Lineage: Eukaryota; Metazoa; Chordata; Aves; Galliformes; Phasianidae. The record is from RNAcentral.
CGGCACCGCAGCGGCAGGCGGCGGCGCGGGGAGGCGGUUGCGUGCUUGCGCCGCUGCGGAGCGGGGCACCUGUGCGGGCGACGGGGCGGGCUCUGCCGCCGCUGUGCCCCGAGCGCGGGGCGGCUGCCUCCCGCCUUCCUUCUCUCUCGGCGCAGCCGAGGCGAGCUUUCUACCUGGAAAAUACUGGAAAUGGUGAAGUAGCUAUGCAAGGUGGA